UCCUACGGGAGGCAGCAGUAGGGAAUCUUCGGCAAUGGGGGCAACCCUGACCGAGCAACGCCGCGUGAGUGAAGAAGGUUUUCGGAUCGUAAAGCUCUGUUGUAAGAGAAGAACGUGUGUGAGAGUGGAAAGUUCACACAGUGACGGUAACUUACCAGAAAGGGACGGCUAACUACGUGCCAGCAGCCGCGGUAAUACGUAGGUCCCGAGCGUUGUCCGGAUUUAUUGGGCGUAAAGCGAGCGCAGGCGGUUUAAUAAGUCUGAAGUUAAAGGCAGUGGCUUAACCAUUGUUCGCUUUGGAACCUGUUAAACUUGAGUGCAGAAGAGGAAAGUGGAAUUCCAUGUGUAGCGGUGAAAUGCGCAGAGAUAUGGAGGAACACCAGUGGCGAAGGCGACUUUCUGGUCUGUAACUGACGCUGAGGCUCGAAAGCGUGGGGAGCAAACAGGAUUAGAUACCCUGGUAGUC
This 466-nucleotide ribosomal RNA is filed under the name Salmonella enterica subsp. enterica serovar Anatum. RNAcentral's name for it is "bacterial SSU rRNA". It matches the Rfam family "Bacterial small subunit ribosomal RNA", at positions 337 to 795 of the family's 1533-position model. Lineage: Bacteria; Pseudomonadati; Pseudomonadota; Gammaproteobacteria; Enterobacterales; Enterobacteriaceae. The record is from RNAcentral.